This is an RNA transcript of Hemibagrus wyckioides, 2309 nucleotides long. RefSeq lists it as uncharacterized. NCBI's taxonomy places the organism in Eukaryota, Metazoa, Chordata, Actinopteri, Siluriformes, Bagridae. The transcript has 2 exons. The record is from RefSeq and is a predicted model, not a curated record.
AGGCCUAGUCCACAUGUACACGGGUAUUUUUAAAAACAGAGUUUUUCCUCCUUCAUUUUUAAAAAAAAAUCUUGUCCACAUGAAAACGCAAAAACGCAGUCUGAAGCACUGUCAAGAGCAUGCCAAACCAACAGGUGGCAAUAUAAUCUCAACCGUAAAGCCAUGUUGGCCAAUCAGAAGCCUGAGAAAAAUGUUAUUACCGGUUCCGCUAGGCUAACAACAUGGCACACCGAGGAAGGGGAGAAUCAUAUGUGUGGACUGAUAAUGAAGUAAAAUUAUUUCUUAACGUCACAACUGAAUAUAAAAAUACUAAAACACAGGAAAACGUGGACUGGGAGUCUUGUCAGUCCAAGUACGCUGACGUCCUAGCUCUUUUCCUUGAGCAGUACCCUCCUGAGACGUCCACAGAAUUUCCUCAUCGGAAAGAGGAUAUAACCAGGGCCAUCAUCACCAACAAGCUAAAGGUGAUACGGGGGAAAUACAGACAAGCGGUGGACUCCGGUCGGAAAAGCAGUCACGGCAGAGUGGUUCUACUCUACUUUGAAGUAUGUGAGCUGAUAAGGGGUGGUUCACCAGCAACGACUACCAUUUCAUCUGGUAUAGAAACGACAGAUGUUAUUACGGCUUCUCAUUGCAGAUCGGAUUCUGCAUCUUCAUCUACACUUGACUUGUCGUUUGUGGAAAUGUCUUCUGUGUCUGAUAAACUUCAAGAGUCUGACGGCAGCAAUUUGGCCCCCUCGGUGGUGAAGGAGAGAAGAGAUCUACUUCAUGUAUUUUAGCGUUUAAUCGUUGAUCAUUAAGCAAAUGCAUAUGUUUAUAAAAGUAAACUGCAGACUAACUCUAUAUGCCUACCAGUACUGUGUAGAAGAAUAUAAAUAUCAGUAAAAGUAAAAGUGCAGAAUGGCCCCUUUUAGAAUAACAGAUUUUUUUUUUUACUGGAUUUUAAGUAUUGAUGUAUUAAUGUGCUCAUCUCUUUAGUGAAACAUUUGGUAAAGGCAAAACUCAAAGCACACAAACAGGACAGACUUAAAAGAAAGCUUCCAGCUGAGACACAGUUGCUGUAUGCAGUCGAAGAAGACAUCCAGAUGAAAAAGAGAAUUUUGGACAUGAUGGAGACAUCGGAGAGGCAUGCUUCUGAAAAUUUCAGGAAAUUAUCUACUAGUCUUGAGAGUCAAUUGCAGAUGGAUUUUCACUACUGAGACAAGUUAUAAUGCAUCCACUACCACAACCAUUCAACGUGCCACCAUACCAAACCAGGGGCCCUUAUGGACGCAUCUAUGCAUCUUCACCACCACUCAACAUUAUAGCUGCCACAUUUCCACCCAACACUACACCUUCCACAUUUCCACCAAACACUACUAUAAGUCUAUCACCACAUACACCUGGCUCUACCUCACCUGUACAGAGAUACGGGCAGUUUUCCAUCACACAAGCCCUUUUUCAGGAUGACAUUUGAAAUUCUUGCCACAAAACAUUAGAAGGCUAUGGUUUGAGCUGCAUCUUUGUAUUUUAUUCAUUUUUAUUUAUUGUUUUUUUAUUAUUAUUAAUAUACUUUAGAGUCAUGACUAAGUAAAACUUUGUGUUUAAAGACUGUUGCUGAAAUCCACCUGUUCUUGAGUUGUUGAAUGUGUUGUGUUAGCUGUUAGGCAGCUCCGAUAUUCUAUAUACAAAACAGCUAGCACUGGAAUAUAAGAAGUCUUUAAUGGGCUGUCAAACCUUUUAAAUUUUGUUGUACAAAAAAGUUUUUCUGUAAAGACAGCUCAUUUUGUACUAUCUUGUAAUUUGCAAGUGCCUUCCUCAUUACAUGGGUUUUUGAUUUUGUUUCUUAGUUGCUGUCUUGGCCCGCCAACAACAUGAUUUUGCCACCUACUUUAUUUAACCCUCAAUUUUAGGUUAUGAGGUCAGGUUAUGCUACUUUAUUUUAUUUUAAGUGGAUGUUGGUGACACCAAAAUGAGCUGACAAUGCUCAUUAAGUUCAUUUGUUAAAUUGUGCUGAAACAGUAUUCAGGCAAGUUAUGACAUUUUGUGCAGUGGCUGUUUCAGUGCCAACAAUAUCAAAAAUUUAUUCAAUAAAAAAAAAAAAGUUCAAAAACUGUUCAGAUGUCCAUGUUAUUAUUUAACAUAAGAUUAAUGCUCUGUGCCAUAAGUGCUGUAAUCUCAAGAACAUGACAACCACAUACAGCUUUCAUUUUAAAUAAAAUUGUGUUAACAAUGAUUACCUGUGGGAAUGGAAAAAAAAAAACGUUUAACUUAACACACUUUUUUACAUGUUCAGGUUUGACUGGCAUGUAACACACACAUACAGUGCA